Molecule: long non-coding RNA, 493 nt
Filed under: Phasianus colchicus (ring-necked pheasant)
Lineage: Eukaryota; Metazoa; Chordata; Aves; Galliformes; Phasianidae
Description: lncRNA (ENSPCLG00000002307.1)
Source: RNAcentral
CUUCUUUCUGGGCAGGCAAAUUCAUCUAGUGUCUCUUCUACACACUGCAUAAUUAGAACAACUCUGAAGUAUCAUUUCUCAGGUUGUCUGUAAAGAGCAGGAUUUUACAUUAUAAGCCUUACCCAAAUAAUAGGCAUUGUAAAGGAGGAAAGAACACCCUGCGUAGGAAGACCUGCUACAUGGAGGCAGACUGAAUUGCUAUAUACCUCCAGCAGCAGACAAUUAUAGAUGCUCACAGAAGUCAGUAAAUCACAUUCUGCUUAGAAAACCACUCUGGAGAUAUGACAAGAGGAUUGAAGUUGAGCUGGCACAGCUUCACUUCUGCUCAAACCUUCUCUAUGAAAACCUAAUAUACACUAAAACAAAUGAUGGUGGCAAGAAAAGAGAAACACCACACUCCAGAGAAGUGCAGGAUAAUUUGUCUAUGCACAUGGCUUUAGAGAACAUCAGCUUCUACAGUGGAACUAAGUGUGUCCCCAGGAAGCAAAAUUAG